RNAcentral lists this ribosomal RNA (426 nucleotides) under uncultured bacterium. Its description in RNAcentral is "bacterial SSU rRNA". It matches the Rfam family "Bacterial small subunit ribosomal RNA", at positions 355 to 772 of the family's 1533-position model. The record is from RNAcentral.
UGGGGAAUCUUGCACAAUGGGCGAAAGCCUGAUGCAGCAACGCCGCGUGGGUGAAGAAGGUCUUCGGAUUGUAAAGCCCUUUCGGCUGGGAAGAAGGGCAUGGCGGUGAAUAAUCGUCAUGUUUGACGGUACCAGAAGAAGACGCACCGGCUAAUUCCGUGCCAGCAGCCGCGGUAAUACGUAGGGCGCAAGCGUUAUCCGGAAUUAUUGGGCGUAAAGAGCUCGUAGGCGGUUUGUCGCGUCUGCCGUGAAAGUCCGGGGCUCAACUCCGGAUCUGCGGUGGGUACGGGCAGACUAGAGUGAUGUAGGGGAGACUGGAAUUCCUGGUGUAGCGGUGAAAUGCGCAGAUAUCAGGAGGAACACCGGUGGCGAAGGCGGGUCUCUGGGCCGUAACUGACGCUGAGGAGCGAAAGCAUGGGUAGCGAA